Molecule: ribosomal RNA, 445 nt
Filed under: uncultured bacterium
Lineage: Bacteria
Description: partial 16S ribosomal RNA
Rfam family: Bacterial small subunit ribosomal RNA
Source: RNAcentral
GUGAGGAAUAUUGGUCAAUGGGCGAGAGCCUGAACCAGCCAAGUCGCGUGAAGGAAGAAGGAUCUAUGGUUUGUAAACUUCUUUUGCAGGGGAAUAAAGUGCAGGACGUGUCCUGUUUUGUAUGUACCCUGAGAAUAAGGAUCGGCUAACUCCGUGCCAGCAGCCGCGGUAAUACGGAGGAUCCGAGCGUUAUCCGGAUUUAUUGGGUUUAAAGGGUGCGUAGGUGGUUUGAUAAGUCAGCGGUGAAAGUUUGCAGCUUAACUGUAAAAAUGCCGUUGAAACUGUCGGACUUGAGUGUAAAUGAGGUAGGCGGAAUGCGUGGUGUAGCGGUGAAAUGCAUAGAUAUCACGCAGAACUCCGAUUGCGAAGGCAGCUUACUAAGCUACAACUGACACUGAAGCACGAAAGCGUGGGGAUCAAACAGGAUUAGAUACCCGGGUAGUCC